UAGGGAAUUUUGCGCAAUGGACGAAAGUCUGACGCAGCAACUCCGCGUGAGGGAUGAAGGUCUUCGGAUUGUAAACCUCUGUUGACAGGGAAGAAAAGCUUGAGGUAAUGCUCAAGUCUGACGGUACCUGUCGAGGAAGCACCGGCUAACUACGUGCCAGCAGCCGCGGUAAUACGUAGGGUGCAAGCGUUAUUCGGAAUUACUGGGUGUAAAGGGAGUGUAGGCGGGAGAGUAAGUUAGAAGUGAAAUGUACGGGCUCAACCUGUAACGUGCUUUUAAUACUGCUUUUCUUGAGUGUUGGAGAGGUAGAUGGAAUUCCUGGUGUAGCGGUGGAAUGCGUAGAUAUCAGGAAGAACACCAGUUGCGAAGGCGGUCUACUGGCCAAACACUGACGCUGAGGCUCGAAAGCUAGGGGAGCAAACAGG
RNAcentral lists this ribosomal RNA (425 nucleotides) under uncultured bacterium. RNAcentral's name for it is "bacterial SSU rRNA". It matches the Rfam family "Bacterial small subunit ribosomal RNA", at positions 355 to 776 of the family's 1533-position model. The record is from RNAcentral.